RNAcentral lists this ribosomal RNA (253 nucleotides) under uncultured bacterium. RNAcentral describes it as "partial 16S ribosomal RNA". It matches the Rfam family "Bacterial small subunit ribosomal RNA", at positions 524 to 776 of the family's 1533-position model. The record is from RNAcentral.
UACGGGGGGGGCAAGCGUUGUUCGGAAUUACUGGGCGUAAAGGGCUCGUAGGCGGCCAACUAAGUCGGAUGUGAAAUCCCCAGGCUUAACCUGGGAACUGCAUCCGAUACUGGAUGGCUUGAAUCCGGGAGAGGGAUGCAGAAUUCCAGGUGUAGCGGUGAAAUGCGUAGAUAUCUGGAGGAACACCGGUGGCGAAGGCGGCAUCCUGGACCAAUACUGACACUGAGGAGCGAAAGCGUGGGGAGCGAACAGG